CUCAGGACGAACGCUGGCGGCGUGCCUAAUACAUGCAAGUAGAACGCUGAAGAGAGGAGCUUGCUCUUCUUGGAUGAGUUGCGAACGGGUGAGUAACGCGUAGGUAACCUGCCUUGUAGCGGGGGAUAACUAUUGGAAACGAUAGCUAAUACCGCAUAACAAUGGGUGACUCAUGUCAUUUAUUUGAAAGGGGCAAAUGCUCCACUACAAGAUGGACCUGCGUUGUAUUAGCUAGUAGGUGAGGUAACGGCUCACCUAGGCGACGAUACAUAGCCGACCUGAGAGGGUGAUCGGCCACACUGGGACUGAGACACGGCCCAGACUCCUACGGGAGGCAGCAGUAGGGAAUCUUCGGCAAUGGGGGCAACCCUGACCGAGCAACGCCGCGUGAGUGAAGAAGGUUUUCGGAUCGUAAAGCUCUGUUGUAAGUCAAGAACGAGUGUGAGAGUGGAAAGUUCACACUGUGACGGUAGCUUACCAGAAAGGGACGGCUAACUACGUGCCAGCAGCCGCGGUAAUACGUAGGUCCCGAGCGUUGUCCGGAUUUAUUGGGCGUAAAGCGAGCGCAGGCGGUUUGAUAAGUCUGAAGUUAAAGGCCGUGGCUCAACCAUAGUUCGCUUUGGAAACUGUCAAACUUGAGUGCAGA
This 646-nucleotide ribosomal RNA is filed under the name Streptococcus salivarius. RNAcentral describes it as "bacterial SSU rRNA". It matches the Rfam family "Bacterial small subunit ribosomal RNA", at positions 23 to 652 of the family's 1533-position model. The record is from RNAcentral. Lineage: Bacteria; Bacillati; Bacillota; Bacilli; Lactobacillales; Streptococcaceae.